AAGAUGCCGUCUGUCCGCAGCAGGACGAAAAGACCCCGUGGAGCUUUACUACAGUUUGGCAUUGAGCCAGGGGUAUACAUGUGUAGGAUAGCUGGGAGACCGUGAAGCCCGGGCGCUAGCUCGGGUGGAGUCACCGGUGAAAUACCAGCCUUGUAUACCUUUGGCCCUUAGCUGGGCCCUGAU
RNAcentral lists this ribosomal RNA (183 nucleotides) under Candidatus Saccharibacteria bacterium RIFCSPHIGHO2_12_FULL_47_17. RNAcentral describes it as "partial 23S ribosomal RNA". It matches the Rfam family "Bacterial large subunit ribosomal RNA", at positions 2056 to 2238 of the family's 2925-position model. Lineage: Bacteria; Candidatus Saccharimonadota. The record is from RNAcentral.